UUUCCGUAGGUGAACCUGCGGAAGGAUCAUUAUUGGAUUUUGAAACUUCAGGCUGCUGCUGGCUCUCCUCGGAGGGCAUGUGCACGCUUGUUGUCCAUUAUUUCUCCCACUGUGCACAAAUUGUAGACCUUUCAGUAGGCCUAUGUUGUUUUUCACAAUCUCUGAAUGUGAUAGAAUGGUUUUGAAUCUUGGGAAAUACAAUACAACUUUCAGCAACGGAUCUCUUGGCUCUC
Molecule: unclassified non-coding RNA, 233 nt
Filed under: plant metagenome
Description: partial contains small subunit ribosomal RNA, internal transcribed spacer 1, and 5.8S ribosomal RNA
Source: RNAcentral